UUGAACGCUGGCGGUAUGCUUAACACAUGCAAGUCGAACGGGGGUAGUAAUACCCUAGUGGCGGACGGGUGAGUAAUGCAUGGGAAUCUGCCUGAUAGUGGGGGACAACGCGGGGAAACUCGCGCUAAUACCGCAUACGCCCUACGGGGGAAAGAGGGGGAUCUUCGGACCUCUUGCUAUCAGAUGAGCCCAUGUCGGAUUAGCUAGUUGGUAGGGUAAAGGCCUACCAAGGCGACGAUCCGUAGCUGGUCUGAGAGGACGAUCAGCCACACUGGGACUGAGACACGGCCCAGACUCCUACGGGAGGCAGCAGUGGGGAAUAUUGGACAAUGGGGGCAACCCUGAUCCAGCAAUACCGCGUGUGUGAAGAAGGCCUGCGGGUUGUAAAGCCCUUUCGACGGGGAGGAAGGCACCGGCGCGAAUAGCGUUGGUGAUUGACGUAACCUGGAGAAGAAGCACCGGCUAACUCCGU
This 472-nucleotide ribosomal RNA is filed under the name uncultured bacterium. RNAcentral describes it as "bacterial SSU rRNA". It matches the Rfam family "Bacterial small subunit ribosomal RNA", at positions 30 to 506 of the family's 1533-position model. The record is from RNAcentral.